RNAcentral lists this ribosomal RNA (796 nucleotides) under uncultured Acidobacteriota bacterium. Its description in RNAcentral is "bacterial SSU rRNA". It matches the Rfam family "Bacterial small subunit ribosomal RNA", at positions 8 to 796 of the family's 1533-position model. The record is from RNAcentral. Lineage: Bacteria; Pseudomonadati; Acidobacteriota.
AGAGUUUGAUCCUGGCUCAGAACGAACGCUGGCGGCGUGCUUAACACAUGCAAGUCGAACGAUGAAGCCCUUCGGGGGGUUCACGAGCGGCGAACGGGUGAGUAACACGUGAGUAAUCUGCCCUUCACUUCGGGAUAAGCCUCAGAAAUGGGGUCUAAUACCGGAUAUGACUGUCCUGCGCAUGUGGGGUGGUGGAAAGAUUUGGUUCGGUGGGGGAUGUGCUCGCGGCCUAUCAGCUUGAUGGUGGGGUAAUGGCCUACCAUGGCUUCGACGGGUAGCCGGCCUGAGAGGGUGACCGGUCACACUGGGACUGAGACACGGCCCAGACCCCUACGGGAGGCAGCAGUGGGGAAUUGUUCGCAAUGGGCGCAAGCCUGACGACGCAACGCCGCGUGGAGGAUGAAGGCCUUCGGGUCGUAAACUCCUGUUGAUCGGGAAGAAUGGCCCCUGGAUUAAUACUCCGGGGGAAUGACGGUACCGAUUGAGGAAGCCACGGCUAACUCUGUGCCAGCAGCCGCGGUAAUACAGAGGUGGCAAGCGUUGUUCGGAAUUACUGGGCGUAAAGGGCGCGUAGGCGGCUUCUUAAGUCAGACGUGAAAUCCCCAGGCUUAACCUGGGAACUGCGUCUGAUACUGAAAAGCUUGAGUUCGGGAGAGGGAUGUGGAAUUCCAGGUGUAGCGGUGAAAUGCGUAGAUAUCUGGAGGAACACCGGUGGCGAAGGCGGCAUCCUGGACCGAAACUGACGCUGAGGCGCGAAAGCCAGGGGAGCAAACGGGAUUAGAUACCCCGGUAGUCC